Podarcis lilfordi (Lilford's wall lizard) is the source of this 72-nucleotide non-coding RNA. NCBI's taxonomy places the organism in Eukaryota, Metazoa, Chordata, Lepidosauria, Squamata, Lacertidae. The record is from the annotation of a GenBank genome assembly.
GCUGGACAGCUUAGUCGAUAGAGCAUGAGACUCAUAAUCUCAGGAUCGUGGAUUUGAGUCCCACCUUGGGCA